ACGGAAGGCAGCAGUGAGGAAUAUUGGUCAAUGGGCGGAAGCCUGAACCAGCCAUGUCGCGUGCAGGACUACGGCCCUACGGGUCUUAAACUGCUUUUGCAAGGGGAUAAAGUGGGGCACGCGUGCCCCUUUGCAGGUACCUUGCGAAUAAGGAUCGGCUAACUCCGUGCCAGCAGCCGCGGUAAUACGGAGGAUCCGAGCGUUAUCCGGAUUUAUUGGGUUUAAAGGGUGCGCAGGCGGUCGAUUAAGUCAGUGGUCAAAUCACGGUGCUCAACGCCGUUCCGCCAUUGAUACUGGUUGACUUGAUUCCGGUCGAGGCAGGCGGAAUUCGUAGUGUAGCGGUGAAAUGCAUAGAUAUUACGAAGAACUCCGAUUGCGUAGGCAGCUUACCAGGCCGGCAAUGACGCUCAUGCACGAAAGUGCGGGGAUCGAACAGGAUUAGAUACCCUGGUA
This 453-nucleotide ribosomal RNA is filed under the name uncultured Porphyromonadaceae bacterium. RNAcentral's name for it is "partial 16S ribosomal RNA". It matches the Rfam family "Bacterial small subunit ribosomal RNA", at positions 341 to 792 of the family's 1533-position model. The record is from RNAcentral. Lineage: Bacteria; Pseudomonadati; Bacteroidota; Bacteroidia; Bacteroidales; Porphyromonadaceae.